RNAcentral lists this ribosomal RNA (567 nucleotides) under uncultured bacterium. RNAcentral's name for it is "partial 16S ribosomal RNA". It matches the Rfam family "Bacterial small subunit ribosomal RNA", at positions 355 to 912 of the family's 1533-position model. The record is from RNAcentral.
UGGGGAAUUUUGGACAAUGGGCGAAAGCCUGAUCCAGCAAUGCCGCGUGCGUGAAGAAGGCCUUCGGGUUGUAAAGCACUUUUGUCCGGAAAGAAAUCCUUGGCUCUAAUACAGUCGGGGGAUGACGGUACCGGAAGAAUAAGCACCGGCUAACUACGUGCCAGCAGCCGCGGUAAUACGUAGGGUGCAAGCGUUAAUCGGAAUUACUGGGCGUAAAGCGUGCGCAGGCGGUUUGCUAAGACCGAUGUGAAAUCCCCGGGCUCAACCUGGGAACUGCAUUGGUGACUGGCAGGCUAGAGUAUGGCAGAGGGGGGUAGAAUUCCACGUGUAGCAGUGAAAUGCGUAGAGAUGUGGAGGAAUACCGAUGGCGAAGGCAGCCCCCUGGGCCAAUACUGACGCUCAUGCACGAAAAGCGUGGGGAGCAAAACAGGAUUAGAUACCCUGGUAGUCCACGCCCUAAAACGAUGUCAACUAGUUGUUGGGGAUUCAUUUCCUUAGUAACGUAGCUAACGCGUGAAGUUGACCGCCUGGGGAGUACGGUUGCAAGAUUAAAACUUAAAUGAAUUG